This 445-nucleotide ribosomal RNA is filed under the name uncultured bacterium. Its description in RNAcentral is "bacterial SSU rRNA". It matches the Rfam family "Bacterial small subunit ribosomal RNA", at positions 28 to 456 of the family's 1533-position model. The record is from RNAcentral.
GAUGAACGCUGGCGGCGUGCUUAACACAUGCAAGUCGAACGGGAAACCUUUUAUUGAAGCUUCGGCAGAUUUAGAUUGUUUCUAGUGGCGGACGGGUGAGUAACGCGUGGGUAACCUGCCUUAUACAGGGGGAUAACAGUCAGAAAUGACUGCUAAUACCGCAUAAGCGCACAGAGCUGCAUGGCUCGGUGUGGAAAACUCCGGUGGUAUAAGAUGGACCCGCGUUGGAUUAGCUAGUUGGUGAGGUAACGGCCCACCAAGGCAACGAUCCAUAGCCGGCCUGAGAGGGUGAACGGCCACAUUGGGACUGAGACACGGCCCAGACUCCUACGGGAGGCAGCAGUGGGGAAUAUUGCACAAUGGGGGAAACCCUGAUGCAGCGACGCCGCGUGAAGGAAGAAGUAUCUCGGUAUGUAAACUUCUAUCAGCAGGGAAGAAAAUGACG